CCUACGGGAGGCAGCAGUGGGGAAUAUUGCACAAUGGGGGAAACCCUGAUGCAGCGACGCCGCGUGAGGGAAGAAGGUUUUCGGAUUGUAAACCUCUGUCCUUGGUGACGAAAAUGACGGUAGCCAAGGAGGAAGCCACGGCUAACUACGUGCCAGCAGCCGCGGUAAUACGUAGGUGGCAAGCGUUGUCCGGAAUUACUGGGUGUAAAGGGAGCGUAGGCGGGAAGAUAAGUUGGACGUUUAAUCUAUCGGCUCAACCGAUAGUCGCGUUCAAAACUGUUUUUCUUGAGUGAAGUAGAGGUAAGCGGAAUUCCUAGUGUAGCGGUGAAAUGCGUAAAUAUUAGGAGGAACACCAGUGGCGAAGGCGGCUUACUGGGCUUUAACUGACGCUGAGGCUCGAAAGCGUGGGUAGCAAACAGGAUUA
Molecule: ribosomal RNA, 424 nt
Filed under: uncultured Gemmiger sp.
Lineage: Bacteria; Bacillati; Bacillota; Clostridia; Eubacteriales; Oscillospiraceae
Description: bacterial SSU rRNA
Rfam family: Bacterial small subunit ribosomal RNA
Source: RNAcentral